AUUGAACGCUGGCGGCAUGCUUUACACAUGCAAGUCGAACGGUAACAGGGUGCUUGCACCGCUGACGAGUGGCGAACGGGUGAGUAAUGGGUCGGAACGUGCCGAGUAGUGGGGGAUAACGCAGCGAAAGUUGUGCUAAUACCGCAUACGUACUGAGGUAGAAAGUGGGGGACCUUCGGGCCUCACGCUAUUCGAGCGGCCGACGUCUGAUUAGCUAGUAGGUGAGGUAAAGGCUCACCUAGGCGACGAUCAGUAGCGGGUCUGGGAGGAUGAUCCGCCACACGGGGACUGAGACACGGCCCAGACUCCUACGGGAGGCAGCAGUGGGGAAUUUUGGACAAUGGGCGAAAGCCUGAUCCAGCCAUGCCGCGUGUCUGAAGAAGGCCUUCGGGUUGUAAAGGACUUUUGUCAGGGAGGAAAUCCCUAGUGCUAAUAACACUGGGGGAUGACAGUACCUGAAGAAUAAGCACCGGCUAACUACGUGCCAGCAGCCGCCGUAA
RNAcentral lists this ribosomal RNA (500 nucleotides) under uncultured bacterium. RNAcentral describes it as "partial 16S ribosomal RNA". It matches the Rfam family "Bacterial small subunit ribosomal RNA", at positions 30 to 523 of the family's 1533-position model. The record is from RNAcentral.